Molecule: long non-coding RNA, 428 nt
Filed under: Trifolium pratense (red clover)
Lineage: Eukaryota; Viridiplantae; Streptophyta; Magnoliopsida; Fabales; Fabaceae
Description: long non-coding RNA (TPRA_LNC007778)
Source: RNAcentral
AGGCCUUGGCUUGCAUUGGGCAUGGAUAGCAUGGUAAGCACCUAUUUGUGCAUAACUCCCACCCUUGUAGGAAGAAGCCUUUUAAAAAGGGGGGAAGUGCAAAGAAAGGCAACCCAAAAACACAGUAAUUUAAAUUUAUGGAAGCUUGUAGUUUUUUUGAAACAACUUUUUGUAGUUGUUUAAAGUUUUGUAGACGACGAUUGUUUUGCAUAUCUAUUGUUAUUUAUUUUAGUAUGUUUUUUAAGGUUUCCAUUCCAUUGAAACAUCAGAUAUCUCAAGUGAUUAUACAUGAAAUUACUUGUAUUAAUAGAGUAAACUUUUACAAAGAUUUAUUGCUAGUGAAUAAGGGUCGUGUAGGAACACCAAAAUUUUCUAGCUUAGUCCUAGUUUUUGUCAUAAUUUAUUCCGAAAUAGAUAACGAAAUUAGG